AGUAGGAUGGUCGGUCCUUUGUGAUCGGCUUCUUCGAGAAAUAGUUCAUUUCUUCUGAUUUUCUAUUUAUUUAAAUAGUGUUUAUAGUCUAAUAAUAUGUGUCAGUGUUGAAUCUCGAGAAUAAAACAAAAGUUGUUUGUGAAUUACUGCGGAAAAUCGAAAAAUCGCAGCAUUUAUGGGUCAUUUUCCACCAUCGCCAUAGUCGCGCAGCUUCCAAAAAUGCAGAAUUCUACAUAAAUGUGUGUUAAAUACUACGUUCUUGCCUAAACGCUUGAUGGUGAGGUAUACUUAAGAUUGAUGUUUGAAUGUAAACUGCAAACUGUAAGUAUGUAUAUAUAGACAAUUUCCAUUCGUCUGCGGGAUCUUCUGCAUCAUACCAUGGGCCACGCAGAUUUUGCGAAAAUCAGGUUUCUCCAUAAUAGUCGACGGAUCAAUAAAAUAAAAACACACAGCCGUUUUAUUUUUUUUUUAAACUGAACGGCUGUGUGAUUUCAUCAUUUUUGUUCUGUCUAUUAUUACGCAGAGAACAGCUUUUUUUUUUUUCAUUUUUUGUUAUUCGCUUCAGAUUUACUACCCAUUGUGUCUGAAAACAUCGCAAAUUCAUCGCCUUGAAUUAAUGCGCAACCACAGUAUACUUUUACUGCUAUCUAUUACGUAUAAGCUAUUUCUCCACAUCGACCGUGAACAACAAUGUGUUGUUUCUAUCAGUUCCACGUUGCCAUACAAUCAUCCCCGAAUACAUUGUGCACUAGGCAAUUGUCUGCAUUUCAUUUCGAUUUAUUGACCAUCGUCAUUAGUCACGUGCUCCUUUGAUCAGUGCUUCAUCUUCGCGAUAAUAUAAUACAUAUUUUCGCAACGAUUUUCUAUCAAAUAUUUUCCCAUUUGUUAUCUACUAAUUCAUCAUGGAUUCCAACUGCGAUACCGAUAGUCUGCUUGCUUCAAGUGGGGAUGAAGCUAUUUCCAUGGCUUCCGUGUCGCAAACUACGGUUACUCCUAAUAACCCCGAGAAAAACACUAUACCAACGGAAAAUCUACCAUCUACAUCAAAAGAUACAACCAUCACCGAUGUGAACAACGUUAUGCGUAAAGGGAAACGGGCUGCUACAAGUCCGCAAACCAACAAGGAAAAAAAAUCGAAAUAUCAAGGAAAUCUUCGUCUUUUGGUGUGUCGUGAAUCUAAAAUUGAUCAAAACUUCUUGGACUACCUUUUGGGAGAACUGGCCUCGCUUCAAGACCUGAUUCCCUCAAAUGCAGAACAGGCAAAAUUUGUCGGCUUUGGAUUUUCCGGUGGUGAUCUGUGGAUUGAGGCGGUGGAUUCGUUUAGCCUGGAGUGGCUGCAAUGUUCACUCAAUCAACUGAGCUCAGCCACCUUGGAUUUUCGCUUCACCGUGAAAUGUUUUGUGCCUCCUCCUGCACUUCAACGAUUUGUGGGAGUGUUUCCUCGAUGUAUAAAAGAACAUCUCCGCCCUGACGAUGUGUUGAAGAACAUUGCCCGUCUCAAUACUGGGUUGGAUACCCGAUACUGGAGAGUUUUUUCAUUAAAUCGAAAUCGAUCGGAUGGUCGUAGAUUUCUCGUUAUUGGUGUAGACGAGAACUCAUUGCGGGUGUUGGAAAAAUGCAAUUACAAAAUUUUCUACCGUUUCACUCAAAUCACUCUAAAGCUUUCAGAGAAUAAGAAAAAGAACUGAAAAAUAUUGUGCCAACUUUGUUUGCCAGAAAUUGAAAUCAAAUAAAUGAAUUGCCUAAAUAA
Aedes aegypti (yellow fever mosquito) is the source of this 1750-nucleotide long non-coding RNA. RefSeq lists it as uncharacterized. Lineage: Eukaryota; Metazoa; Arthropoda; Insecta; Diptera; Culicidae. The transcript is spliced from 2 exons. The record is from RefSeq and is a predicted model, not a curated record.